This 484-nucleotide ribosomal RNA is filed under the name uncultured bacterium. RNAcentral's name for it is "partial 16S ribosomal RNA". It matches the Rfam family "Bacterial small subunit ribosomal RNA", at positions 30 to 507 of the family's 1533-position model. The record is from RNAcentral.
AUUGAACGCUGGCGGCAGGCCUAACACAUGCAAGUCGAGCGGAUGAAGGGAGCUUGCUCCUGGAUUCAGCGGCGGACGGGUGAGUAAUGCCUAGGAAUCUGCCUGGUAGUGGGGGAUAACGUCCGGAAACGGGCGCUAAUACCGCAUACGUCCUGAGGGAGAAAGUGGGGGAUCUUCGGACCUCACGCUAUCAGAUGAGCCUAGGUCGGAUUAGCUAGUUGGUGGGGUAAAGGCCUACCAAGGCGACGAUCCGUAACUGGUCUGAGAGGAUGAUCAGUCACACUGGAACUGAGACACGGUCCAGACUCCUACGGGAGGCAGCAGUGGGGAAUAUUGGACAAUGGGCGAAAGCCUGAUCCAGCCAUGCCGCGUGUGUGAAGAAGGUCUUCGGAUUGUAAAGCGCUUUAAGUUGGGAAGAAGGGCAGUGAGUUAAUACCUUGCUGUUUUGACGGUACCAACAGAAUAAGCACCGGCUAACUUCGUG